GCAGAAGUACGUCAAACAAGGCCUAAAACGCGAAGAAGCGAUCGAUUUUUUGCGGAAGGACUUUCCUCAAUUCGCCUGGAGUAACCGAACACUCGACGAACGUUUACGCCAUUUCGAAGUUUAUUGCAAGGAUGACACUAUUUCGGUUGAAAAGAUGUUAAAGAGGUUGUUAAAAAGGAAUUGGAAGACCCAAGUAAGCUAUUGAGGCUGGAGUGUAGAGGACAUAUGGAUCUGGCUCUCUUCCCUGGGAAUUAAGGGGAUGCUGCCCUGUUUUCAAGUGAUUGUUGCUAAGUGAAAAAGGUGAUGACAAGGACAUUGCUGUAGAGCCUUAAUGGGUUGACAAAUGGAGCUUAUAGCAAAUAUGAAACAAGUAAUGAACACUCAAGAAAAGGAAAACCCUUACAGAAGUGGAUUCAAAAUUGGAAAAUUCUUCACUUAAAAAGAAAAAUAACAACUCUGGAUAAAAAGAUUGGGAUGCCAAAUAAAAGACAAUGUACUUAGAAAAAGUGUAUCAGGUCUCACAGUAUCCAGUGGGUGCAUGAAAAGAACUAGUGUCCUAGGGAUGGCUAUGACUUUGAGGCUGAACACAUGCUGCAAAAAGAGCCAAAUAGAGAAAGCUUUGUGGUAGUGGUGAUGAAGAAGAUGAAUCAGAUUUUGGUCCAGUUGGAAAAGUAAACAGCUGUCAAGCAAGUUCAAAACUGGAUGAUAUCAGCAACAAAAGUGCUGCUAUUGUAGUUCUAACUUUUCUGGGAUUUUGUUCCAUGUGACAUGUGACAUGUGACAGUUGUGAAGCAUCUUCAUCCUUCAGCCAAGAAAUAAACUAUCAAAUAUCGUUCAUCAUCAUCAUCAUCAUCAUCAUCAUCAUCAUCAUCAUAUCAAUUACCUGUAAAGAUAGCAACAGCAGUUAUAAGUCAAGCUGCACUGAGAUAAAAAGUCCCAUGAAAGGUGGUGAGGUUGACUUCUUGAAUCUUAACCCUUUACCUCCCAUGAGUGACCAAGACAGAAUUUCUCCUUACAACAUCUCUACAAUAUCAACCAGCCAAGUUAUGAGAAUAAAGAAAACUAUCAAUUUGGAGAUAAUUAGUUGAUCUAAUACAAAAUUCUCUGAACUAACAUCAUAAGAAUUGUAUGGUUGACAGUAAGGAGAAUUACAAAUUUGGUCUGGGAGUGAAAAGGUUAAGAGAGAGAAUAGUUUGUGCAAUAAGAAGCUGGACCAGCAUUAGAGCAAGGAUUCAGAUGUAGAGGAAUCUGAUAAAGGAGACAGAUUCAGUAACCAUUGACUCUUCUUUUUCAACCCAGUCUGGUGGUUUUGAAGUCAGUGACACUCUUUAAUAUAGAGACCUAUUCUCCAUUUCUCAAUAGCCAGUGUUGUGUUUUGUAAGGAAGUUAGCCCAAUUAUGUCACUGAAAAGGGAAUUGAUAUUGUAUUUACCUUAAUUUAGUAAGAGAAAUCCUCCAGAAAAGGCAUUAAAUUUGA
This is a non-coding RNA of Pocillopora verrucosa, 1476 nucleotides long. The record is from RefSeq and is a predicted model, not a curated record. NCBI's taxonomy places the organism in Eukaryota, Metazoa, Cnidaria, Anthozoa, Scleractinia, Pocilloporidae.